AUUGAACGCUGGCGGCAGGCUUAACACAUGCAAGUCGAGCGGUAGCACAGGGGAGCUUGCUCCCUGGGUGACGAGCGGCGGACGGAUGAGUAAUGUCUGGGAAACUGCCUGAUGGAGGGGGAUAACUACUGGAAACGGUAGCUAAUACCGCAUAACGUCGCAAGCCCAAAGAGGGGGACCUUCGGGCCUCUUGCCAUCAGAUGUGCCCAGAUGGGAUUAGCUAGUAGGUGGGGUAAUGGCUCACCUAGUCGACGAUCCCUAGCUGGUCUGAGAGGAUGACCAGCCACACUGGAACUGAGACACGGUCCAGACUCCUACGGGAGGCAGCAGUGGGGAAUAUUGCACAAUGGGCGCAAGCCUGAUGCAGCCAUGCCGCGUGUGUGAAGAAGGCCUUCGGGUUGUAAAGCACUUUCAGCGAGGAGGAAGGUGGUGAGCUUAAUACGUUCAUCAAUUGACGGUACUCGCAGAAGAAGCACCGGCUAACUCCGUG
Molecule: ribosomal RNA, 490 nt
Filed under: uncultured bacterium
Lineage: Bacteria
Description: partial 16S ribosomal RNA
Rfam family: Bacterial small subunit ribosomal RNA
Source: RNAcentral